UUGACUUUCUGAGCUUUGAAAUGGUAUAUAGCAUGUAGCAAAUGGACUUCGGAAAGUGCUCCAAAAGUGCGAAUGAAGACUACAACUGUUGUCCUCUAUUUUCUUCACUCUGUUUUCCUCUUUGCUUCUCUCCUUUACUUGGCUUGUCUUAAUGAUCCAAAAAGCUGUCAAAACACUAAAACUAGCCACAAAUAUGAUUAGAAGUCAUUGCUAGGUCCUUAACAUGUCAAUUGGAAUAAAAAUGGAGAACUACUACACAAAAGUGCUUAAAACAUAAUGAAUUAAAAGUGCAAAAUAGCACUUUUUGGGUAGUAAUCAGGUGUCCACUGUGAGAUGGCUACAAAUGUGACCAAAGAAUUCUUAUCAAUAAUCCAAGAUGAAAGAGGUGUGAGAAGCACACUAUCAUGAGAUCGAUACUCCACCUAUAACCACAUAUUCUUAACUCAACCUUUAACUCGAGCUCCAUGAAGAGAAAAAAUGAUGAGGUGAUCAAAGCGAAUUUUUUAAAAAAAUGUGAAUGUGAAAACAUGUCUUUCACCUUCCCAUAAUGAAAAUGUGAGCACCGAGUUGAAAUUUGAAUAAAGAAUUGUACAAAGAAUGGGGUACUGGGCCUAUGAUAAGUGUACAAUGUAAAAGGAUGAUCAUGAUCAAUGAACAUAUCCCAAAGCAUUAAGCAAAAGACAAUCAACUGAAAGGAUGUGCCAAGCCAAGAAAGAGAGACAAAAUCCCUAGGGAAAAAACAUGUUAAACUCAUCGAGUGAAAAGAAUAAUCUAAGGUGACAUGAAAAAAGGUGAUCCAACUUAUACUAAAACUCGUACCAAUCUCAAAGCACUCUCAACUGGAGACCAAAAGAGAGAGUAUUGGAUCCAAACUAUAGCUAAAGAGGCUUUGAAGGCUCUCAGAUGUACCCAUGUGUAAGGAAGGAAAUCCUUAUCGAAGGAUCUAAGGCUCAACCUACGAGGUCAAGAUGGCUCUAAAAAGGAGAGGGGUAAACUUUGAAGGAUCCCUAGUAGAAGCAAUCGUACCCUCCGGUGGUACACAACCCUCUACACGUCUCCGAAGAGACGGGCACUUCCAAUCAAGGUGGUCAUCACCUCCACACAUGCACUACCUCAACAUCCCAGGGGGGCUCCUAUGAUGAAGGCUCUCCUAAUGGCUGGCAUAUCUCACAACUCUGAUAACUCAUCGACGAUCUAAGGUGCAUAGUGAGUGGUGUGGAUGCAUUCGAAAAUCCUAUUAAACUAAAAGAAAACACACUAGUCACAAAUAUCCUAAAAUCUAGCUCUGGGAUGUACAAGUCUUCAAAGUUCGGACUCCAAUCAACACCAAUGUGUCAGCCACCUCCAAAAUGCUCUCAAACAUAGAUAUAACCCAUCACUAGACCCUGCUCCUAAUCACUAGCUUGGUCGAAGAGAAAAUAAAACAACAAGUCUCAUAUCAAAUACGAGAUCAAGUAAAACAAGGUUGACCGAGACUAGGGACUUGGAGACAAGGGGAUAGGUGUGUGUCCCACAUAGACAAGCAACUCAUGUAAUCACACGGAAAGAGAGAAGUCAUGCAACAGUCAAUCAUGCAAAGCACAUGUAUAUCAUCCAAAUCUACACACAAGCUAAGCAAGAAAUAUAGCAAUCAAGAUGAAUAGUAAUGAGGAUAGCAUGCUCAAAGGUGAUCAAGAUAAUCGACACUAAGACAAACAAGAUAUACAACAAAGUGAACACGCAUGUCAAAGUGAGCAGGAUAAUCAUGGCAAGAGCAUAUUUGAUACACUAAGAUAAGCAAGAUAAUCAAUCAAUAUCAUCAGCAUGUCCAUGUCGCAAAUGGAUAUAGCAAUCAAGCAUAAAAAAUCACCACAUCAAAAUCCUCAAUGUGCUAUGAUCACUCAAGCAUAGAGAAGCACAAAGGGAAGGUAUCCAUCAAUCGACUAAUUAAACGCCACAUUUGCCUCAAUUUGAGUUUAAGUUUGACCUUCUAAACAUCCCCAGUGGAGUCGUAAUUUUGUGGACCCUACAUUUUCGCUUGAUGUGUUCCCACUCGAUGACCAACUCGCUUUUUAUUUAUUUGUUGAAAAUUUGAUUUUUAAAAAAGGACUUGGAGUCGCCACUUAUUUUAAUUUUUUUAAAAGGGAAAAAAAAUAAGAAAAAAAAACCCUAAGUGUGACUUUUGAAGGAAAAACAGGUCUAUGAAAAACCGAGUCUGGUUUCGGGGGUCAGGUUACAUAUUGGGAAGGUACGGUGGUGAGUUGUAGCACCCCUCUAAGCCCGUAUACAUACGGUCUCUACUAAACAAAUUAAGGGUAUUGUGACAAUUAAUUAAUUAAUCAUGGAUACCAAAAUUAAUAACAUAAAUCAAUAUACACAACAGUGCUAACAAAACAAAAUUACAAGAAUGUACAAAAUAAAUGACAAUAAAAUUAUGCAAAUUGAUUUAUUGAACUAAUUAAAAAAAAUAUUUGAAACAAAAAAGUUUUCUGAAAAUUUCAAAGGAUUUUAUAAAAAACAAUUUUGAAUGAGUGAUUUUAAUUUAUUUAUUUACAAAAUAUUUUCUUCAAGUGAUUUGAUUCAAUCUCAUAUUUAAUUUUCAAAAAAAGUUUUUUUUUUUUUUUUUUUUGCACUUAUUGCAUCAAAAGAAUUUAUUAAAAAUAAUAUAUAAAAAGAAAAUAAAAAGAAUUUGAUUUUAUUUAAAAAAUGAUUUUUCAAGUUUUAUUCAUAAGAGCAAUACAAUUUGAUAAUUGAUUUAUUUUUCUUCUUUUUUUAAAAAUAAAAUAAAAUAAAAGGAACUUUAAAAUUUUGCACUUUGUUUAAGUAAAGAAACUUAUAUUUUCACAAUUGUAUGUAAAAAAGAAUUCAAUUCAAUUUCAUCUACAACAAAAAUUUCACUUACAAUUUUAUUUAUCUACAAAUUUAUUUAAAAUUUUAUUACUUUAAAUAAAGGAUAUUUACUUGCUUGGAAAGAAAAUUGUCUGUUAUUAAAAAAGAAGAUUUUUGUUUAUGAACUUAUCUAAAAAAAUGUCUUUUUUUUUAAAAAAAGAAAAAAGAUUUAUUUGCGGCAAUAGUUUGAUUCAAAUUUAUUUACCAAAAAGGAAAUUUUUUUUUCCAACUUUAAUAAGAAUAAAAAAUAGAAAAUAAUGAUUUUUUGAAGGGAAGUUCCACAAGCUUUGUAACUUAUUAUUAUUAUCUUUUUUUUUAGGUCAUUUUUAAUUUAAUAUAAAAGGAAUAUGUCAAAUUUAUUAUUAAAAAAAAAAACUCAAAUUUAUUAAAAACAUGAUUUUUGGGUUUUGAUAAUUUUUUUAAAAAUCUAAAACGGUUUAUAUAUAUAUAUAUUAAAAAAAAUUAUUAAAACAAAUUGACUCCAAAUUCAUAUUUAUUUAUUUUUGAGAAAAAAAUAAAAAAAAUAAAAAUUUAUAUAAAAAAAAGAUUUUGAUUUAUUAGAAAUAUGAAUUUUGGUUUACUUAAAAAAAGUUAUUACAAAUAAUUAAAUUUGUUAUCAUCAUUAUUAUUAUAAAAUAAUCAAUUAAAUAAAUAGAUAAUUUUGAAAUUGAAAAGAAACGGUUCAUUGAAAUAUUCUAUAAACUGAAAAACAUUACUAAUAAUAUGAGAAUUAGGGACAACACAAAAUAAACGAAUAAAAAAAUAAUUAAACAAAUAAAUAGAUAAGCAAAUUACUCAAAUGUAUACGCAACAAUAACCAAACUAAUGAAAAUUUGAAGCAUUUAAUAGAUUUUGAAAGGAAAUGGAUCGUACACCAAUAUAUACCAAAAGGUCAUCCAAAAUAAAUCAAAUAUAUACAAAAAUAAAUAUAAAAUAAAAUAAAAAUAAAGAGGACAGGGAUAAUCGAUAUACCAUUUACAAUGCAAUCCCAAAUCUAGUGGCUCUCCACAACUUCCUCAACAAAACUUAGAAAUACCUGCAAACAUCUCAAACCUUUCACAGAAGAAAAAAAAAACAAAGAAAAUACAGAGAGAGUUUCUUUUCAAAAAUCCAGAGAGUCGUCCCCUUUAGCCGUCCUCCCUCUCUCCCAGCAUGCUUGUUUUUUUCCUUCUUAAUCCAAAAAUUUUGGUCCUCAGUCAAC
RNAcentral lists this long non-coding RNA (4069 nucleotides) under Vitis vinifera (wine grape). RNAcentral describes it as "long non-coding RNA (VVIN_LNC005094)". Lineage: Eukaryota; Viridiplantae; Streptophyta; Magnoliopsida; Vitales; Vitaceae. The record is from RNAcentral.